This is a long non-coding RNA of Neofelis nebulosa (Clouded leopard), 2712 nucleotides long. RefSeq lists it as uncharacterized. The transcript has 3 exons. The record is from RefSeq and is a predicted model, not a curated record. NCBI's taxonomy places the organism in Eukaryota, Metazoa, Chordata, Mammalia, Carnivora, Felidae.
UAUCGUAGUUUGGCUCACUCCACCUCAUUGCAAACCCUUCGUAGCGCAUUUUCCUGUUGGAGCUAGAAAGCUAAAAAUUGCAUUUACGAGACCGCCUGGCGGCUGGGAUAUAGAAAGGUAAUGUAAGUUCCAUCAAGCAGGUAUACCUGUAUGAGACUUUAUUUUUUUUAAACGUUUGUUCAUUUUUGAGACAGAGCAACAGACAGACUGCGAGCAUGGGGGAGGGGCAGAGAAAGACGGAGGCACAGGAUCCGAAGCAGGCUCCAGGCUCUGAGCUGUCCGCACAGAGCCCUGCGCGGGGCUCAAACCCACGGACCGAGAGGUCAUGAUUUGAGCCGAAGUUGGAUGCUUAACCGACUGAGCCACCCAGAUGCCCCUGUAUGAGACUUUAAAUAGAAGCAAAAACUGAAGAGAUCUUCUGGCAACCUUGGUGGUGAUAUCUGAUCCUGUGGGGGCAGGUACAGGCUGACUUGACCAAUGUCAUAUGGCUGCAAGGGGCAGAACACAUUCAAAUUGAGCUCUCUCUGACGACCAUGCUUUAGACUUUGUCCUGCAACGAAUAAGAACCAACGAAGGUCGGACAACGAUAGGAUUAGAUGGUGUUGCCGAAGGAUGGGAGAAGGGGAGCUUGAGUAGGUCAGGAGCCCAGAGGGGAGAUAGCAGCCACAAGUCAGGAGUGGUGAGAAUGGGGACGACUGAAUACAUCUGAGAAUUUUGGUUUUUAUUUUUAAUUAAAAAAAAAAAAUGUUAUGUUUAUUUGUUUUUGAGAGUGAGAGAGACAGAGCACAAGCGGGGGGAGGGGCAGAGAGAGGGGGAGACACAGGAUCCAAAGCAGGCCUCAGGCCCUAAACUGUCAGCACAGAGCCGGAUGCGGGGCUCGAACCCGCGGACCGUGAGAUCAUGACCUGAGCUGAAGUCAGACACUCAACCGACGGAGCCACCCAGGUGCUGAAAAAUAUUUAAAUUUUUUUUUUUUUAAUGUUUAUUUAUUUUUGAGAGAGACAGGAAGAGACAGAGCACAAGCAGGGGAGGGGCAGAGAGAGAGGGAGACACAGAGUCUGAAGCAGCCUCCAGGCUCUGAGCUGUCGGCACAGAGCCCGACACGGGGCUCGAACUCACGAAUCAUGAGAUCACGACCUGAGCUGAAGUCGGACGCUCAACCGACGGACCCACUCAGGCGCCCCACUGAGAAAUAUCUGAGAGGCUGCAUAGACAAACUCGGAGACCAAUGCCAUGUUGCAGAGACAGGAAGCGAUAGGAAUGAAGAGUGAAGCCGAGACCUGGGCUCAGGCACCUGGGUGGAUGGUGGCACCAUUCAUCAAAAUAGAGGAAACAGGUGAAGAAGCUGGCUGGGGCGUUGAUUCCUGAUAUUGGUGUUAGAUAUGUUGAUACAGGAUUCCUACAGGACGACAGCUUGGAGACCAUCGAGAUAUCCAUUUGUCUGAAUCUGUGGUGCCCGUGACCCUGGAGUAAAGCCUGGUGCCUGGGGUGUGUUGGCGGCUGUACAAGCACGUCUGGAAUCUGGCCCAGCAUCAGGCGGAGCGAGCACAGAGCCUUGCGUCGCUGCGUAUUGAAACUGACUUGUCAGGCCACGGAGCUACAGAGAAGAAAGGCUCUGGCCGAGGCAGGCAAGCAGGCGCCCCGCUCAAUAAUUCAGCACAGAGCCUGUCUUGGCUGCAGAGCUACCAUCACAAGGAGCGUUUUUAAAGCCAAACCCGAUUUCUGUGCGAAGUCAUGCCUGAGCAGGCUGGAUCGUCGCCAAAGGACAAGAGAAGGCUCCAGGCCUCUUUAUACACAGGCCCUGGGAGAUUUGGGUACUUCGUGAUAAAGCUGUCAGUCUCCGCAGGGCAGGCAUGUGACUCAUUUGCGUAUGUCACUUCCUUCAGCCCGCAGGCCCCUGACUCCAAAUCCCAGCGGACAAACAAAGCUGUCCCAAACGACCUCUUCCUAUCAGAUUCAGGCUUUAUUAUGCUAGGGGGUCUGGCCGCAGAUCCCUUCACUGCUCUGGACCAACUCAGAGCCCCUCUGGCGGAAUGGAGCUCUCUAAAGGGAAGGGCACUUCAGGGGGGGGGGGGGGGGUUCAGGCACGGCCCCACAAGGAUCAGGGAGUGGAGCAGAAUGGCCUGAGCGCUGCUGACAUUCUGCCACCAGCGGUCGGCUUCCAAAGCUCUGGGAGAAUGGGCCCGUUCCACCUUCUGGGCACGCUGCUCCCCAGCCGCCCACGGGGGCCGAACCCUGGAUGGUAGCUACCCGAGUCUUUGCUUCUCUCAGUCUCUGCUUCCAUGCGUCCUUGAUUCGCGCUGGCCUCCUGUGCUACCCAUACUUGGGGAUCGAUUACUUAGCAGGAGACUGUAAGGAAACCUUCACCUGGCAUGCACAGCCGUGCCCAAGGGACUGCGCCGAUGCUUGAGUGGCUGGCUCGUCCCUGCACCAGGAUGCCAGGCGUGGUGGACAGGACACAGGCUGGAGGUCAGCCCCCACCGCUGCCCCUUAUGGCAGGUUCUCUGUACUGGCCACUAGCUUCACGGCUCUGGAGGAGGCCCUCCCCACGAACAGUUUAUCAGUGUGCUAUGAUACGCCAAUCGGCAAAUUCUGCUUCAGAGAUUCUCGAUCCCCCCCCCAUCCCCACUAUGUAAUUCAGAAUAAAAUUUAAAAUAAAAACAAUACUGGCUCAUAAAACACAAGCUUACAACAAUACUGACUCACAAACUU